GGAAGAUGUUCCAGUGGUGGUCCCGGCCCUGGCACUGCUGCCCUGCGGCAAGCCUGGGCACGGCCACCUCUGCCUCCUCCCGUCCAGGGAUGGAAUUUGCACCCUGCCUGACACCAGUCCCAGCAGUCAGCACCUGGUGGGCUGGAACUGCCCUAAAGGUCACAGCUGCUGUCUGAGUUUGUUUGUUUGUUUUUAUGCCCAAUAGCUGGGUAUGCAAAAUCAAAGAUAGUCUGUGGUGGUGGUGGGCCUUUCCUAGUCGCCUUCUCCUGCAGUCCAGAAAUCCAAAAUGUCUUCCUGAGGAAUUCCUCCUUCCCCUGUCCUUUGCAAACGCCAGGGGGUGAUGGAUUUCAACAACCUCUACAGUCCUCAGCCUGAAGAUUUGGAAACUGGGCUUAGAGAGGUUAGUACCUUGCCAAAGUUACAAAGUUGUAAGUGGCAGAGCUGGAACUCGAAGGCAUCUCUGGCCUGAAGCCUGAGCUUUACCCAGUGUGCUUUACCACCUCCCUUGUACGUCCAAGCUGCCCAUGAAGACCGACACUGAGACCAACUUAGCCUGAACACGGAGACAGCACCGGGGCUUGCGGCACCAAAGGCUUAAAUUGCUAACUCCAAAGGUAACGUGAAGAAGAUUCCCUUUAGAAAACAAGGACCAUUAUGUCCUUUGCGUGUCUACUCCAACAAACCGUGGUUCCUGCAUCAAAACCC
Long non-coding RNA from Lemur catta (Ring-tailed lemur), 705 nucleotides. RefSeq lists it as uncharacterized. NCBI's taxonomy places the organism in Eukaryota, Metazoa, Chordata, Mammalia, Primates, Lemuridae. The record is from RefSeq and is a predicted model, not a curated record. The transcript has 3 exons.